GAGGGUAUAGCUCAAGAGGUAGAGCUCAUGCUUAGCAUGCAUGACAUCUUAGAUUCAAUCCCCAGUACCUCCA
RNAcentral lists this transfer RNA (73 nucleotides) under Camelus bactrianus (Bactrian camel). It matches the Rfam family "tRNA". Rfam says of the family: Transfer RNA (tRNA) molecules are approximately 80 nucleotides in length. Their secondary structure includes four short double-helical elements and three loops (D, anti-codon, and T loops). Lineage: Eukaryota; Metazoa; Chordata; Mammalia; Artiodactyla; Camelidae. The record is from Rfam by way of RNAcentral. RNAcentral also lists the same sequence under 2 other names.